This 149-nucleotide microRNA precursor is filed under the name Gossypium hirsutum (cotton). Its description in RNAcentral is "MIR8643 microRNA precursor family". It matches the Rfam family "MIR8643 microRNA precursor family". Lineage: Eukaryota; Viridiplantae; Streptophyta; Magnoliopsida; Malvales; Malvaceae. The record is from Rfam by way of RNAcentral. RNAcentral also lists the same sequence under 1 other name.
AUUUCUUUUAACAUAUCAGGAAGUCAAAUUGGUAGUGAAGAAAGAAGCAAGAAGUUGAAAGUCAUCAUUACCUAUAAUCAAAAUUCAUAAACCCAUACCAUGCUUCUUUCUUCACUACCAAUACGACUUCCUGAUAUGUUAAAAGAAAC